Molecule: ribosomal RNA, 248 nt
Filed under: uncultured Leptolinea sp.
Lineage: Bacteria; Bacillati; Chloroflexota; Anaerolineae; Anaerolineales; Anaerolineaceae
Description: partial 16S ribosomal RNA
Rfam family: Bacterial small subunit ribosomal RNA
Source: RNAcentral
ACACGGGACCGUGCCGGGUCCGUUAAGCCGGAGGAAGUGGGGAGUGAUGUCAAGUCAGCAUGGCCUUUAUAUCCUGGGCUACACACACGCUACAAUGGCCAACACAAUAGGUUGCUAAGCCGCGAGGUGGCGCCAAUCCAUAAAGUUGGUCUCAGUUCAGAUUGUAGGCUGCAACCCGCCUGCAUGAAGAUGGAGUUGCUAGUAACCGCAGGUCAGCUAUACUGCGGUGAAUACGCUCCCGGGGCCUU